This 353-nucleotide long non-coding RNA is filed under the name Canis lupus familiaris (dog). RNAcentral describes it as "lncRNA (ENSCAFG00000037766.3)". The record is from RNAcentral. Lineage: Eukaryota; Metazoa; Chordata; Mammalia; Carnivora; Canidae.
ACCCAUUCUAUGAGCUCAGAAAAAUGAUGUCAUCUCUUGUAUCCAUUUUAUUAUCUCCCAAUUUCUAUUCUCAUUCUUUCAUAUCCAGAGGUACAUGUCAUCUGAAGCCUUGGGCCCUCCGCAUCAUAAAUCAGGAACAAAUCCAGGAGGGAGAAAGAGCAAAGGAGACAAGGACCUCGUUAAGAACACUAAGUUUCUGUAACAAAAAUGGAGUCCUUUUCUACAUUAUUUUUUGUAACUGGCUCUUUUUCCUUUUUACUGCCUCUUGGAACACUUGGAACACUUUGUAUGAGUUACUCUCUGGAACAAAAGUACUUUUCCCUUUUAUUUUUUUAAAGUGCUGUAAUUGCUAA